GCAAGGUUAAAACUCAAAUGAAUUGACGGGGGCCCGCACAAGCGGUGGAGCAUGUGGUUUAAUUCGAUGCAACGCGAAGAACCUUACCUGGUCUUGACAUCCACGGAAGUUUUCAGAGAUGAGAAUGUGCCUUCGGGAACCGUGAGACAGGUGCUGCAUGGCUGUCGUCAGCUCGUGUUGUGAAAUGUUGGGUUAAGUCCCGCAACGAGCGCAACCCUUAUCCUUUGUUGCCAGCGGUCCGGCCGGGAACUCAAAGGAGACUGCCAGUGAUAAACUGGAGGAAGGUGGGGAUGACGUCAAGUCAUCAUGGCCCUUACGACCAGGGCUACACACGUGCUACAAUGGCGCAUACAAAGAGAAGCGACCUCGCGAGAGCAAGCGGACCUCAUAAAGUGCGUCGUAGUCCGGAUUGGAGUCUGCAACUCGACUCCAUGAAGUCGGAAUCGCUAGUAAUCGUGGAUCAGAAUGCCACGGUGAAUACGUUCCCGGGCCUUGUACACACCGCCCGUCACACCAUGGGAGUGGGUUGCAAAAGAAGUAGGUAGCUUAACCUUCGGGAGGGCGCUUACCACUUUGUGAUUCAUGACUGGGGUGAAGUCGUAACAAGGUAACCGUAGGGGAACCUGCGGUUGGA
Molecule: ribosomal RNA, 634 nt
Filed under: Escherichia coli
Lineage: Bacteria; Pseudomonadati; Pseudomonadota; Gammaproteobacteria; Enterobacterales; Enterobacteriaceae
Description: bacterial SSU rRNA
Rfam family: Bacterial small subunit ribosomal RNA
Source: RNAcentral